Molecule: ribosomal RNA, 496 nt
Filed under: uncultured bacterium
Lineage: Bacteria
Description: bacterial SSU rRNA
Rfam family: Bacterial small subunit ribosomal RNA
Source: RNAcentral
UAGUCCACGCAGUAAACGAUGAGUGCUAGUUAUCGGGACCUAUGGUUUCGGUGGCGAAGCUAACGCGUUAAGCACUCCGCCUGGGGAGUACGGCCGCAAGGCUAAAACUCAAAGGAAUUGACGGGGACCCGCACAAGCAGUGGAGCAUGUGGUUUAAUUCGAUGCUACGCGAAAAACCUUACCAGCUCUUGUAUCCUGGUCGUGAUUUUCAGAGAUGAAUUUCUUCAGUUCGGCUGGACCAGUGACAGGUGUUGCAUGGCUGUCGUCAGCUCGUGUCGUGAGAUGUUAGGUUAAGUCCUUCAACGAGCGCAACCCUCAUCCUUAUUUGCCAUCAGGUUAUGCUGGGAACUAUAAGGAAACUGCCAACGACAAGUUGGGGAAGGUGGGGAUGAUGUCAAGUCAUCAUGGCCCUUAUGGGCUGGGCUACACACAUGCUACAAUGGUGAUUACAACGGGUUUGCAAAACAGCAAUGUCUAGCUAAUCCUUCAAAAAUCA